Ictalurus punctatus (channel catfish) is the source of this 3914-nucleotide long non-coding RNA. RefSeq lists it as uncharacterized. The record is from RefSeq and is a predicted model, not a curated record. The transcript is spliced from 4 exons. NCBI's taxonomy places the organism in Eukaryota, Metazoa, Chordata, Actinopteri, Siluriformes, Ictaluridae.
GAAAAACACUAAACUACAUUUUCUGAGAUUUUAACAGAGGUGUUCGUAUCGCGCAUCAUAAAAGACAAUCUUAGUGUGGCAGGGUAAGCGAUUUAACUAUCCUAUUGGCUCUGCUCGGGGUAUGGCUUCGGCAGACCAAUGGGGGGGAGCUACCCGACUAUUUAAGGACCCUUAUUUUGGUAGGCGCAUAAGUGUCUUGGUGAUUCAGAGUUCCUCACUCUCCUGGUAUUUCCGGUUCCCAUUUCCGGUUCCCAUUUCCGGUUCCCAUUUCCGGUUCCCAUUUCCGGUUCCCAUUUCCGGUAAGGUACUUCAAGGCUUUGCUCAUGGUGAUGAGGUGAACAUCUCAAGGCUAAUUUAUUUAUAGUCUUAGAGCAGCGCUAGUGGCGCUUACAUUGUGGCGAUUUGGCGAGGGAGAUCGCAUCAGUGAUUGCAACAUUUAGCCGCUGGCUGAAUGAUAUGUAUAUUUAUAUCGAGCCAAAGUACCUGUGAGUAAUCAUACCACUUUGUGUCUGGUGUUUUGUUCAACCCAGUGGUAAGUGCACCCCUCCCUUUUUCACACUGGGACUUGUUAGAUUUAGGUUGACACUCUGAUCUUUGUGUUAAGGUGAGAGUGGGGAGUUAAGCAUCUAAGUCUUCUCCAAGACAAAUACCUAGCCAAAGAUGCUACAUGUGACGCUGCUGCUAUUUUGUUUUACUUUAGUUUUGGGCUUAUGUUUUGUAACUACAUGCAGUCUGAGAGGCUUAGUCGUAAAUUAGUGUUUUCCAGCCUCAAACCUGUUUCAGGUUUGUUGUUCCACACAACCAUCUUACUAUUGAGAGGGUGUAUGUUAAGCCUUAUUGUCUCCAUGCUAUAGUUGCUAUAUUUUUCAUUUGUAAUGUCUACCAUAAUUCUGGUUUUCCUUAGGUGCUGUUAACUACCUCUAUUUCAUGUGGUGGUGUUAAUGGGCCUGAGUGAAAUAGUCACCACCCCAUGGUGUCUGUAAUUUGCUUCUUUUUGUUUAUUGUUUAGUGUCUGUGUAACUUUUGAUUAACUGGUGUUUGCUUUCUCUCCAGGAGCCAGUGAGUCUUGGUGGGACAGGGGAGGCUAGCUGCAUUUAUUCGGUAGUGUGUGCUUCACAGCAUGAUCAGUGUGCCAACACCACAACUUCCUUAUGGUGUGGGUAGUGUUUGGUGAUUUUGGUGUGACUUGCAGUGGGUUUGGAUGACCUCCUGAGUUGUAGCUAGCCUGCCUUGUCCCUGCCAAGCCUGGGCCUGGAGAAGUGGUUAGUUUAAAAAUCCUUAUUGUGCUUCAUGGGAGAGCGAUUUUAUACUUGUAUGUUAUGUUUUAAUGAUGCUUAAGUGUCAUAAUAAAAUGUAUUUUUAUAUUCAUACUUGCGUCUCACUCUCAUGUUCCUUGCCCUGAUUGGUAAAACUUGUGUGCCUUUAUUUGGGAGUAUUUCCCUGGUUCUCCCCCUGGGUGGCAUAGUUCCAUUUACUAAAUUUGGGAUAAACGUUUCCCUCCACUUGGGAACACCACAUUUUGGUGUAGCUGGCAGGAUAAAUGUCUCCCUCCACUUGGGAAUGCCACAUUUUGACGUAGUCGGCAGGAUUUACCUGGUAAGGCAAGGAUUCAUGUAGAUGAGAUGUGGGUUUAACUGUUUGAUUUAAUAUUGGUUGUGGUUUGUUUUCUGUUUUUUUCAGAAGCAAAACAGCAGUGUGCGUUUGACCUUUUGGGGACUCUCUGUUGUCCUGUUCCAUUGUGGGGGCAGUCUUGCCUGGCUCAAUAUGGCGGACAUGUUGACAUAUCGCAGCAACGGGCCAAUGCGGUGUCUAUAACUGCGUGUUAAUGCCCACUGGAAUUGGCACAUAUACAGUAGAACAUAGAAAAGCAUCAAUCUUUCCAUCCUCCAUACUGCUCAUCCUACACAGGGUCACCGGGGAGCUUGGAGCCCAUCCCAGGGAACUCUAUGGACAAUUUGGAAAUGCCAAUCAGCCUACAGCACACAUCAUUAGACUGGGAGAGGAAAUCGGACUGCCUGGAGGAAGCCGCCAAGACAUGGGGAGAACAUGCAGGCUCUGCACAUAUGGGAUGGAGGUGCAGAGCAAAAAAAUAAUAAUGCUGGUCUAUUUGUAAACCUAAUUUCUCCAAUGAACCAGAAGAGAGGAGCUCAGAAGAGACAGCAUCGUCAUCAUGGGACAUGAACUACACUUUCUUAAAGUUAGCUGUUGCUAUAGCAAAUGGGUGCUUACAGCAUACAGUAUCCUUAAAACAAUGAGCUUUAAAUCUUGUUCUUUAAAUUGUGGGCAUUUUCAUUGCACUCACAACUUACAAUUUCAUGAAUUCCUUUUACUAUCUGAUGGUCACAUUACAUUGUGCUAAAAAUAUCUGCACUAUAUUGCCAAAAGUAUGUGGGCACCUGACCCUCAUGCGCAACACACCCACCAUACCCAUCAUACGCUCCAUAGUCAAGAAAGCCCAGUGUAGCGGUUAUGGAAAGUAUUCCAUACAUUUAAUGUGUAGAAUUACACAAAAGGAAAUGUGUACCUGAUGUAGCUGUCUACUUGUGUGAGUACUUUCCCUUUUAAUUGUCAUGAUGUCAUUGGUUCAUGUAAUUUCCUGUUUUGGCUCCUCCUCUUCACUUUCGCAUUAUGGUUGAAUGGGAGAGGUAGGUUUAAUUUUGAGUCCUGUUUCAUCUUUAUUUAAAUCAUCAUUUAUAUACGUAUGUACUCAUUUUGUUUUGUGUGUAUGGUGUUAUUUUGCUUGCCUGUGUGAUUAUUUUUGUUGUUUUGCCCUUUUGUAUUAUGGUUGAAUGGGAGAGGAGAGAGAGGGAAUAAAUGAAGAGUCGACCCAAUUGCCGUCCGCCUAUUUUUUUCUUUGGAUAAAAUAAAACACACAAUGCAGACUACAACCAGUUACACCAGCACCGUCUCUACUUUCUGCGAAGGCUGAAGAAAGCCCAUCUACCACCUCCCAUCCUCACCACGUUCUACAGAGGAACUAUUGAGGGCAUCCUGAGCAGUUGCAUCACUGUCUGGUUCGGAAAUUGCACCUCAUUGGAUCACAAGACCCUGCAGCGAAUAGUGAAGACAGCUGAGACGAUCAUCGGGGUCUCUCCCCCCAUCACAGACACCACACGCUGCAUCCACAAAGCCACCAGCAUUGUGGAGGACCUCACACACCCCUCACACACACUCUUCACCCUCCUGCCGUCUGGAAAAAGGUACCGAAGCAUUCGGGCCCUCACGGCCAGACUGUGUAACAGCUUCUUCCCCCAAGCCAUCAGACUCCUCAACACUGAAAGACUGGACUGAUACACAUGUGCACACACACACACACACACACACACACACACACACACACUGAACUGAACACCAUCCCACUCCCAUUGAAAUAUUUGCACAUUUCUGCAUUGACACUGUUGCAUUUUUUGCUUCUACUGUGUUAUAAAAAGUAUAGUAUUUAAUUUCUUGUCACUAUUACUCACUUUACCUGACUCCUACUGCAAUAACUGCUACAUCCAUAUUUGGUAUAAGCUAAUUUGCUGAAUACUCAGUCAUAGCAUGUUUUGUUUACAUUGAUACCAUUUUAAAAUUAUAUUAUUAUUCCUUGGCACCUGUCUUUUGCACUACCUUUUAUAUCAGACACUUUGUACUGUUUGGCGCUACACUGUCACUUACUGUGCCUAUUGUACUGUUUUAGUAGUAUUGUACUAUCCUGUGUUUUUAGCACAAGUCUGCACGUACACUUUUAGCACAAGUCUGCAUGUACACUUUAUGUAGAAUGUUUGUAGAUAUUAUUUAGUUCUAUGUCGUCUCAUGUGGUUAGUGUGUUGUUUUAUGUAGCACCAUGGUCCUAGAGGAACGUUGUUUCGUUUCACUGUGUACUGUACAAAAUGUAUAUGGUUGAAAUCACAAUAAAACCACUUGAACUUGAA